CAAAGACAACAUUACUGUAUACCACACAAAGCAGAGUAAAAGGGAGAAGCUGGGAAUGGUUAUAGAAUGAGCUUUAAUAAGAAUAGGAAAGGGGUGACCCUCCUGGAUUUCCUGGAAACUGGAGACGCCAUCAACUCUGCUGCAACACAAUUUAGACUAAACUGAAGGCUCCAACUUCUAGAGUCAGGCCCACUGAAGUUCUACCAGCUAAAAUCAUUUAUGCAUACACCACAAGAACUCCUACAAGAAAUCAAGACCAGAAAUCAUACGAGUUUCAUCAAUGUUUCACCAUGGUGUUGAAUCCAUUCUCCAGAACUAUUCAAUUAGUACUCAAACUUCAUCACUAUCAGAAGUACUCAUCACCAAAGUAAAUAUAGCAUGGAAAUACUUUAUGUUCAUUGUCUGAAACUACUCUGUUACAUGCAUGAGCUAAAGGGAUUAAAGGACAUAAAGGAUGAAGGAACAUUCAGUAGGAACUACUCUGUGAAGUGACCAAAGCAUUUAAUAUUAUUUCAUUGAUAAU
Meleagris gallopavo (turkey) is the source of this 523-nucleotide non-coding RNA. Lineage: Eukaryota; Metazoa; Chordata; Aves; Galliformes; Phasianidae. The record is from RefSeq and is a predicted model, not a curated record.